AAACCAUGCUGUGGAAACUUCCGUAAGAGGUCAUUGAAUCACUCCCAUGUCUCAAACAAAGGAUUCAAGCUCCAUCUGAACAAACGAUGAUAUUUCAUUAUGAAGCUU
This is a small nucleolar RNA of Dioscorea cayenensis subsp. rotundata (Guinea yam), 108 nucleotides long. The record is from RefSeq and is a predicted model, not a curated record. NCBI's taxonomy places the organism in Eukaryota, Viridiplantae, Streptophyta, Magnoliopsida, Dioscoreales, Dioscoreaceae.